AUGCUCUCCGGCGUGUUUCUCAUAGCAGCGCUGCUGCUGCUCUUCUGCCCCACACCGACAGCCGGCGAUGGUGGGUUUUCAAUGUCCUCUCUCGGCUUCAACAGCUCCCAACUGAUGGUUUUCACCAGAAAUAUGCAAAGGUCAGCCCAUGAGCUGUUCCUCGACAAAAGUCUCUCUGCGUUGAACAACUCAAUGGGGCUCAUCGUCUUACCGGUGAUGUUCUCCUUCUCCCUAGAAUCCACUUCCGUCUACGCAAACUUCACCAUGCAAGGCUCUUCCCCUGCCUCCUUCACCGUAGUAUUCGCCAUGCUUCCGGCAGAUGUCCUUAGGAACGUCGGCACGAGGUACAUCAUCAACGGCGUUGACCAAACUAACAACAAUGAGAAGACGAUCGGCAGCAACGAGUUUGCUGCCGUCGAGAUUGGCACGCUGAGGUCGAGCUUGAGCUUCCCAGGCCAGCCGGGUGUUGGCCUCAAUGUCACCGUCACGCCCAUCAAGAUCCAGAGCCUCGCCGUGAGGGUCGACUACUUCUACUCCAAAUCCAGGGCGGCGGUGUACGUUGGCCCCGUCGGCUCCGAACAAGGGCCCGACUUGGUUGCCAGUGGGCCGGUCAAUAUAAAGAAGAUGGAAGAAGUCGAUUUCGCCUUCAUCGGCUUCUUCAGCGACCGUGUGAGCAACAUCUUGAGCAAUAUCAAACCUUGGGGGCUGAGUGUGCAAAGUGUUCGUCCGAAGCACAAAGGGCCGUCAUGGCUGGUCAUACUGCUCUCGGUUGUCGGAUCAGCGGCUGCCACGGCCAUUACUGCUGCUGCUUUCGCGGUCUACUACAGGUCCAAGUACAGGAGGUGGAACAAGGACCUGCAGCGGCUGGCCAGGUCCAUGCAGCACCUCCCGGGGAUGCCAAGGCACGUCGACUUCGCCGACAUCAAGAAGGCCACCAAAAACUUCCAUAGCAGCAUGCAGCUGGGAGCAGGCGGAUUCGGGGCCGUCUACAGAUGCAAGCUUCCGGCGGCGCCCGAAGUUGGGGGGCCGGAGGUGGAGGCGGCCGUCAAGAAGUUCACCCGCAACCACAACGGGUGCUACGAUGACUUCAUGGAGGAGGUCAGCGUCGUCAACCGUUUGCGCCACCGGAACAUCGCUCCUCUUGUCGGCUGGUCUUACCACUCAGGCGUGCCCCUCCUCAUAUUCGAGCUCAUGCCAAACGGCAGCUUGGACCAACAUCUGUUCCAUCCAACAAGGGCACGCUUCCUCCAGUGGGAGACGAGAUAUGACAUCGUCAAGGACAUAGCCACCGGCCUGCACUACGUCCACCACGAGUACGAGCCAGCGGUGCUCCACCGCGACAUCAAGGCGAGCAAUGUCCUGCUCGACUCCGCGUUCCGCGCCCGCCUGGGCGACUUCGGCAUUGCCCGCGCGGUGGGCCUCGACCGGAACUCGGUCACCGGCUUCGCCGGGACACGGGGUUACAUAGCGCCGGACUACGCGUGCAGCUACAAGGCCACGAGGGAGACGGACGUCUACGCGUUCGGGGUGGUCGUCCUCGAGAUCGUCACCGGCAAGCCGGCGCUCCAUAGGGACGUCCCGUCUGACAACAUCAUGUCCGACUGGGUCUGGCAGCUUCACCGGGAGGGGGAACUGAUCAACGCCGUGGACGGUGUGCUCGCGGCUGCCGGGUUCGACGCCGACGACGCCAGGCGGCUGCUGCUGCUUGGCUUGGCGUGCACCAACCCAAACCCGGCCGACCGGCCGAGCAUGGCGACAGUGGUGAGGGUGGUCACCAAGCUGGCGCCGUCGCCGGACGUCCCUCUGGAGAGGCCGACGUUCGUCUGGCCGCCUCAGGGGCUGUGCACAUCAACGCCGGGAUCAACCUGUGGAACAGGAACAAGUAUUUUUCGUACGGUGGGCUCAUCCGCCAUGGUGGAGCUCGAGCAGCUGAGUGAAGAGCUGCCUAUUGUUGUAUUCCAGGCAUCAGCUGGCACAACAAGUGGGCAGGCAAGGACAUCGAUCGAAACAGCACCAGCUCAGCCAUCUCGUGGCACCACCAGGUCUUCCUGA
This 2052-nucleotide ribosomal RNA is filed under the name Triticum aestivum (bread wheat). Its description in RNAcentral is "partial small subunit ribosomal RNA". Lineage: Eukaryota; Viridiplantae; Streptophyta; Magnoliopsida; Poales; Poaceae. The record is from RNAcentral.